GGGCUGGCAUUGUAGCUCAGCGGUUCCUUCACGGGCUCUCUGAUUUAUCAGACUAAUCCUCUCGGGGGUUCAAAACCUGCGGGCGCUAUCCAGCCUUUUU
This is a non-coding RNA of Xenopus tropicalis (tropical clawed frog), 100 nucleotides long. The record is from Rfam. NCBI's taxonomy places the organism in Eukaryota, Metazoa, Chordata, Amphibia, Anura, Pipidae.